UAAAAACUCACUCCGAGGAUACGGUAUUAGUAAUGAUGGGUAGGGGAGCUUCCCAUACGGGUUGAAGCAGGACCGUAAGGACAUGUGGACAGUAUGGGAGUGAGAAUGUUGGCAUGAGUAGCGGGAUGUGGGUGGGAAUCCCACAGGCCGUAAACCCAAGGUUUCCAGGGGAAGGUUCG
RNAcentral lists this ribosomal RNA (179 nucleotides) under Clostridioides difficile. Its description in RNAcentral is "partial 23S ribosomal RNA". It matches the Rfam family "Bacterial large subunit ribosomal RNA", at positions 1182 to 1368 of the family's 2925-position model. Lineage: Bacteria; Bacillati; Bacillota; Clostridia; Peptostreptococcales; Peptostreptococcaceae. The record is from RNAcentral.